Molecule: long non-coding RNA, 906 nt
Filed under: Pan troglodytes (chimpanzee)
Lineage: Eukaryota; Metazoa; Chordata; Mammalia; Primates; Hominidae
Description: long non-coding RNA NONPTRT016472
Source: RNAcentral
GAACACGAAAGGAAGAUGGUCGCUGAAGCGAAGGGGAGUCAUUUGUGUCCGUUCCAUAAAUCAAGACUGUCGCCUUUCGAAAAGGGGAGGUGUCGCGGUCUGACAGCCUGAUCUGUUUCUAGGACGGCGUGUUUCCAGGAAAUUCUGAGCACAUAUAUAUGCAGGGAGCAGUCAUCGUUUUCCUCCUGUCCAGCCUUCUGCCUCCUGCUCCUCCUCUAGCUGCCUCCCUUGUUUCCAGGCUGGAGAUUCAAUCCCUCUUCACCAUCCCUGCCGAGGGAGGCUGUGUAGCAGGCUGUGUACGGGAGGCAUGUGAGAGAGGCUAUGUAUGGGAGGCCCAUGAGGGAGACUGUGUGAGGGAGGCUGGGUGAAGGAGGCUGUCAUGGAGGCUGUGUGAGGGAGGCUGUCUGGGAGGCAUAUGAGGGAGGCUGUGUGGGAGGCUGUUUGGGAGGCUUUGUGGUAGGCUGUGUGAGGGAAGCUGCAUCAGGGAGGCUAUGUUGGGGAGGCUGUGUGAGGGAGGCUGUGUGGGAGGCUGUGAAGGAGGCUGUGUGAGGGACGCAUGUGAGGGAAGCCCGUGAGGGAGGCUGUGUGAGGUAGGCUAUGUGAAGGAGGCAUGUGAGAGAGGCUGUGUACCAGAGGCCCAUGAGGGAGGCCAUGUGGGAGACUUUGUGAGGAAAGCCCAUGAGGGAGGCUGUGUGAAGGAGGCUGUGUGAGGGAGGCUGUGUGAGGGAGGCUGUGUGAGGGAGGCAUGUGAGGGGGGCGUGUAAGGGAAGCUGUGUAUUGCAGGCCCAUGAGGGAGGCUGUGUGGGAGACUGUAUGAGUGAGGCUGUGUGAGGGAGGCUCACCAACAAGCACACCUCUGAAGGAUUCUGCCUGUGGGGCAGGCAGGAGGCCAUGUCCUUGUGAUGG